Molecule: long non-coding RNA, 414 nt
Filed under: Ananas comosus (pineapple)
Lineage: Eukaryota; Viridiplantae; Streptophyta; Magnoliopsida; Poales; Bromeliaceae
Description: long non-coding RNA (ACOM_LNC028189)
Source: RNAcentral
GAUCAAACACUCGAACAUCAUAAUUUGUAAAGGUCCAGUGUGUUACAUGACCCCCAUGGUAUGCCAGAUCCGUCACAAAUAUAGGGAGUUCACUGUUUACACGGAUAGAGUCUUCCCUGCAUUUGCACGGCAUUGGGACAAGUACAAGAUAUACAAUUCAAGAUACAAUUACUACAUAUGAAUAUCCACACAUCCAUACACCAUUUACAUUCACAUUCAAUUCAUCACAAUUAUCCAUAAAUCUACAACUACCAGUUUAAAAUGUUUCCUACUCGGAAACUCGUUUUAAAAUACUAAGUCAUGAAAAGCAAGAAAACCUUUUAAAACCGUUUCCUACAGGGAAAUCUUUUUCUUUUAAAACACGUUACCACGAGGGGUAAAAAAUCACUUUAAUUUUUUAAGAAUCAUAAAUCC